Non-coding RNA from Monodelphis domestica (gray short-tailed opossum), 3775 nucleotides. The record is from RefSeq and is a predicted model, not a curated record. NCBI's taxonomy places the organism in Eukaryota, Metazoa, Chordata, Mammalia, Didelphimorphia, Didelphidae.
CAGAGACAGAAAGACAGAGAGAGACUUGUGAAUUUUAAAUGUGAAUUUUCUGCUUAUCAAGAACUUAAAAAACUUGAUUCUAAACAGUGCUUCUAAAAUACCACAGUCUAAGACCAGAAGAAAAAGGAAGGCUACCAUAAUUGGAUGAUUGUGAUGCUGUUAAUCACUUUUAAUAGUUAGAUCUCUACAAGAAUAAGAGAUUCAAAAGAAAGAAGGAAGGAAGAAUAGAAAGAAAAUAGGAAGGUAAGAAGGAAUGAUGGGUAAUAGUAUUUAAACUUUCAGCUCUCCUCAAGUAUUAAAUAGUAGCUUCAGUAUUCUCCAUCAUUUAAUCAAGUCUUACAAGGAAUAGAUGCUUUUCCCAGGUCUAUUUUUCCAUCUUCUCCCUGCCUUCCUUCUCUAAGAUACUAGUGCUUUUCUUUCUGAGAUGACUUUCCAUCUACUUUGUAUACAUUUUUGCAUGUACCUAGUAUUCUAUAUGUAGCCUCCCCCAUUAGAAUAUGAGCUUCUUGAAGAAAACAAUGGUUUUUGCUUACUUUGUGGCUCUAUCAUGUAGGGUGUCUGAUAACAUAGCAAAUGCUUAAUAAAUGCUUAAUGAGUAACUCUUAAUUAACAAAUAUCCUAUUAUAUUAUUUAGGGCUACAUUCUUGAAGUUCUUCAAAAGGAACUUUCUAAGUCCAAGCUUGGAAAAAAGACAGAAAAACGAAAUAUGUUACAAAAUUUAAAAUAAAGUCUGUGAUCUCAUGUUUCCAACACAGUAGAGGGAGGUCAGGUAAUCAUCCAAAGCUUGAUCAGCAGGCUAAAUGAAGAGAUCCAAGUGGGUAGAUAAUUGUUUUCAGAGAAGGCCAGGAAUUAAUAUCAGAAACCUAACCAUUGUGAUGGAUGGUCAGGAAACUUCAGGAACAAGGUAUAACAUAAUGACAAAUAUGUGUAAUACAUGCUGAAUGUGUAUUUCACUGUGUUUGGUUUUUGGGAGUUAGAAAGUUUAGCUAAGAAACUUGCCAUGCUCUCAGGAAGCUUAUAGUCUAGAAAGGGAUAGAACACUAUCGCAGGUAACUAAUACACAAUAUAAUAUGUGCCAGAGAGUUAAACACAAAGUGUUUUAUAUAGUGUUUGCUAAGGAAAGUUAUUACCAGUCAGAAGAAUCAGGGAAGACUUCUUAGAAGAAGUAGCAUUUAAAUUUGAGUCCAAAACUCAGUCAUUAAGGACAGGGCUUAAGGCAAGACACAUAGCUCCUGGGGAAUUGGGGUAUCAAGGCCAUCACAAAGAUGUGAUGAACCCCUUUGCUGGCAAUUAAGCUUCUUAUGUCUCCUCCCUUUCUAGGGCCAGAAUUGAUCUCAGAAUCGGGACAGGAUUGAAUUUAUCAGUUGAAGAUAAUAUAUGCUCAAGUGCCAGAGUUAAGAAGAUAAAGGGAUGAAGAAAUGGAAGCUGAGAGUUCAGUGAUCAAGGGUCCAACAACCACAAUGGAGAAGCAAGGUAGCCUUUGAUUUAAAUGCAGAGCUAUAUAAAGUUAUCUUCAAAUGUCGUAGUGGAUGAAGAAAUUGAGACAGCACUAUCUCUCGUCUAUAGAACAUCUAAUGGACAAGACACAAGGAAGUUGUUUUUGCAUCUAAGAAGUUUGAUCCACCAUUGAUAAGAUCCAGAUGCCUAAAAUUGUUAAAGGAUAUAUCUAAUGAAAAGACUUUUAUACUCUUUUUCCCCCUUUCUAUUUCCACUUACCUUGCAUCUGCUACCAUUGCUCGUACCACUGUCCAGGCCACAACAAACACUGCUGGAAAUCCUGUAAGACAGAAAAAAUGUUUUUGGUAACAUCAAUUUCAAUUUUUUAAAAAUGGAAAAUUACCAUUUAAAAGUAUUUGCCGGAUUCAAGAUAAAAUGUGUUCAUUACAGACAAAUUUAAAGAUGUCAUAUUGCUUUGUGUUCUAGAAAAGUUCUCAUGACUUUUACGUGAACUAGAGAAUUAUAUUCAAUCUAUCAGCUAUGUUUCUAUGAAUGAAUUUGUCACCAACAUUGAUUUUUCUUGUAAUUAAUAACCUAAAGUUUGUCAUUGGUUUAAUUGAAAUGUGAGAGUUUAUAGGAUCAAACACUAUCUGGAAGUGACUCUUGAAAUUAAGGGCAAAAAUAUGGUAUAGUAUCAACAUCUGGAUUCUAAUUUUAUAUUGAUGAGUGUCAUUCAUUCCAUUGAAGAGUAAAAGAUCAAGAACAUGGAUUUAUAAUUGUGAUUUGAAGUAAACAAUAGAUUAAGACACUUUAUGUAGAAAGAUGAAGGCUUGGGGAGUAUAAAAUUGAAAUCCAUUUACUCACUAAGAUUGACUGAAUAUAAUAAUUUUUACUUUUUUGUCUUUUGAAGAUAAGGAAAGUUCUUAUUUAUGAUGAUUUAAAUGUGGUGUGGAGUUAUUGUUACUGUGAAUCCCAAGAGUAUUACUUCUUUCAUCUUGGUGAGAAGGUGAUGGUUCAGAGUUUGAUUCCUAAAAGAAUUAUAUAUGAUAUCACAACAAUAUGAUUAUUAUAUGCUUUUAGAAAACCUCAACAGAAAAUAGAAAGAUUGAAUGACUCAUGAGUAAAUGACUGGCUAUAUGUGUAACCUUUAUGACAAGAGAGUACCAAAGCAUACUUUCAUAAAAAGAACAUGUCAAAAGCUUUAACAGAUUUAUUAUAAUGGAGAAGAAACUUCGUCUCUUCUAAUCUUAAUAGAAUUUCUCUUGAACACAUUAUUAAAUCAAUAAAGGAAAUAAAAAAUACAUUUCAAAAUUUUUGAAUAUCAAAAGAACAGUAUAACAUUAAAGUACAUGAAUAUUCCUUAAAGGAACCAAGUGAAAAAGAAGUGUAGAGAAAACAAAAGUAAAAAUAGGGCAAAAGUCUAGACCAAGUCUCAUAGCCUCUGCUUGUGGGAUCACUGUAUCUCUUAAUGUUAUCAUGAACUUAUGGGCUAAGUUUAUAAAUUAUUUGUAUCCCAACUCACCUAUGAAUACAAAUUCUGAAGUUCUGUCUUCCAGGUAGCAAUUUUUAAUUUCCUCAAUCUUAUUUUGAUUGUGCCUCAUAUUCAAGUCCUUAUAUUCAAAUUUUUGUAUAUGUUUUUCCAAAUAAUCUCAAUUUUCUUUUUAUGUGUCUCACCAGAUGUAUAUUAAUCAGUUACCAUGUACCAGGCAUUAUACAAAGUUCUGAAGAUUAAAUAUGAGAGUAAAACAGUCCCUGCUCUCGAGGACUUUAUACUCUAUUGUACAAAAACAUGAUUCUUUGUCCUCAACCAAACUGUUAAAUCUUCAAAAGGAAGGUACUAUCUUGAGCUUUUGUUCCUCUCAGAGCCCUUAGCACCUUAUAUAAUAUUUUGUAUAGCAAUAGUACUUAAAUGUUUUAAAUUAAUGUUGUUUAUUUAAUGGAAAACAUGAUUGUAAUUCAGAAUUUUUAAAAAAUCUAUUUUAUCAGGUGCUAUGUUUUAAAGUAUUAUUGCCCAUAGUUACCGUUUGUAACCUCCUGUAUGCAAGCCCUUACUUUCCAAAACUUGCAUUAAAAUUUUUCAAAAGCAAGAAUACACGAAACCAAAGUCAUAUAAAUUCUCAACAAGAUAAUUUUUAUACUAUAUAUCAUGUAUAAUACAUGUAUACACAGGGGUGAAUAGAAACCAAUAUAUACAAAUGCCCAACAAAUUUGCCUAUGUUUGAAAAUUUGACUUUAAGAUAAACAUUAUAAUGAUUCUUUAGAUAAGUGUUAUUUUAUAGAGGAAAACAGUGGCCUAGAUAUUAGAAUACUUUUCUUCUAUUUCUGUCCCUGAGAGUAA